CCUACGGGGGGCAGCAGUGGGGAAUAUUGCACAAUGGGGGAAACCCUGAUGCAGCGACGCCGCGUGAGUGAAGAAGUAUCUCGGUAUGUAAAGCUCUAUCAGCAGGGAAGAAAAUGACGGUACCUGAUUAAGAAGCACCGGCUAACUACGUGCCAGCAGCCGCGGCAAUACGUAGGGGGCAAACGUUAUCCGGAUUUACUGGGUGUAAAGGGAGCGUAGACGGCAGCACAAGUCCGGAGGGAAAUGCCGGGGCUUAACCCCGGAACUGCUUUGGAAACUGUGCAGCUAGAGUGCAGGAGAGGUAAGCGGAAUGCCUGGUGUAGCGGUGAAAUGCGUAGAUAUUAGGAAGAACACCAGUGGCGAAGGCAGCAUACUGGACUGUAACUGACGUUGAGGCUCGAAAGCGUGGGGAGCGAACAGGAUUAGAUACCCGAGUAGUC
This 440-nucleotide ribosomal RNA is filed under the name uncultured bacterium. Its description in RNAcentral is "partial 16S ribosomal RNA". It matches the Rfam family "Bacterial small subunit ribosomal RNA", at positions 338 to 795 of the family's 1533-position model. The record is from RNAcentral.